UUACAGCCAUAUCACGUUGAAACACCGCUUCUCAUACUAUCACCGAAGUUAAGCAACGUUGAUCCAGCUCAGUACCUAGACAGAUGACCGCUUAGGAAUACCAGAUGCUGUAAG
Non-coding RNA from Acanthosepion pharaonis, 114 nucleotides. The record is from the annotation of a GenBank genome assembly. NCBI's taxonomy places the organism in Eukaryota, Metazoa, Mollusca, Cephalopoda, Sepiida, Sepiidae.